Molecule: long non-coding RNA, 529 nt
Filed under: Medicago truncatula (barrel medic)
Lineage: Eukaryota; Viridiplantae; Streptophyta; Magnoliopsida; Fabales; Fabaceae
Description: lncRNA gene15384
Source: RNAcentral
GUAUACUAUAUAAAUGAAUUUAAUUUAGAAACUGAGAAGUAUACUAUUGUCUUGUUCGGGUGGAAUUCAGGACGUCAAUCGUACUCAGCACCAUCUAGAAAGUUAGAUGAAAAAAGGCCAAACUUUUCCUAUAUAAAUAGGUCUCAAUAUAACCCUAAGUGGCUUUUACGUUCUAACCCCUAAAUACGUAAAAAUUGAUGGUCUUGUACCUGACAGGACUCCUUCUAGGUAUGGCCUAAAUUUCUUAGGCAAGAAAUAUAUAUAUAUAUAUAUAUAUAUAUAUAUAUAUAUAUAUAUAUAUAUAUAUAUAUGAGGCUUUUGGAGGAUAACUAUGUAUUUAGUCUCUUAUAGUGGGGCUUAUGAGUAUUGUCUCUCUUAAAUUUUAAUUAGUAUUUCAGUACUUCAUAUGAUGGCCAUGCAUGUUUUCAUAAAUGAUCUCACACAUUUUUUGAAUGAUGAUGAGGAAGAAAAAAUCAGAAUAAGUUUAGCCACACAAAUAUUUUAGGAACAUGAGAAUUUAUACUUGAUA